UGAUAAAUAAAGGAAUUAAACCAA
RNAcentral lists this transfer RNA (24 nucleotides) under Anolis quaggulus. RNAcentral describes it as "tRNA-Tyr". Lineage: Eukaryota; Metazoa; Chordata; Lepidosauria; Squamata; Anolidae. The record is from RNAcentral.